RNAcentral lists this small RNA (605 nucleotides) under uncultured Tomentella. RNAcentral's name for it is "eukaryotic LSU rRNA". The stretch from base 240 to 394 matches the Rfam family "5.8S ribosomal RNA". Lineage: Eukaryota; Fungi; Basidiomycota; Agaricomycetes; Thelephorales; Thelephoraceae. The record is from RNAcentral.
CAAGGUUUCCGUAGGUGAACCUGCGGAAGGAUCAUUACCGAAUCGUCAAACACGGGUUGUUGCUGGCCUCCAAACGGGGGCACGUGCACGCUCUGUUUACACAUCCACUCACACCUGUGCACCCUCUGUAGUCCUAUGGUUCGGAAGACCCCGUCUUCCUUCUGUAGCUCUACGUCUUUACACACACGCCGUAGCGAUGUCUCAUGGAAUGUUUUUAUGCGUUUAACGCGAUACAAUACAACUUUCAGCAACGGAUCUCUUGGCUCUCGCAUCGAUGAAGAACGCAGCGAAAUGCGAUAAGUAAUGUGAAUUGCAGAAUUCAGUGAAUCAUCGAAUCUUUGAACGCACCUUGCGCCCCUUGGUUAUUCCUUGGAGCAUGCCUGUUUGAGUAUCAUGAACACCUCAACUCUCAUGGUCUUCCAUGAUGAGCUUGGACUUUGGGGGUUUGCUGGCCCUGCGGCCGGCUCCUCUCAAAUGAAUCAGCUUGCCAGUGUUUGGUGGCAUCACGGGUGUGAUAACUAUCUACGCUCGCGGUCGUCUGCCAGGUAACCCUCAGCGAUGAGGGUUCAUUGGAGCUCAUAAACGUCUCUCCUCGGCGAGGACAA